This 253-nucleotide ribosomal RNA is filed under the name uncultured bacterium. Its description in RNAcentral is "partial 16S ribosomal RNA". It matches the Rfam family "Bacterial small subunit ribosomal RNA", at positions 524 to 776 of the family's 1533-position model. The record is from RNAcentral.
UCCGGAGGGUGCAAGCGUUAUCCGGAUUCACUGAGUUUAAAGGGUGCGUAGGUGGCUUUGUAAGUCAGUGGUGAAAUCUUAGAGCUUAACUCUAAAACUGCCAUUGAUACUGCUUAGCUUGAAUCAAGUAGAGGUGGAUGGAAUAAUACAUGUAGCGGUGAAAUGCUUAGAUAUGUAUUAGAACACCGAUUGCGAAGGCAGUUCACUAUGCUUGUAUUGACACUGAGGCACGAAAGCGUGGGGAUCAAACAGG